CUUGAGAACCCUCAGUUCUUUGGAUAAAUAGGAGGUUAGGUGCUCAGAGGAAGAGCCUGUGACCCCAUCAUAAAUAUUUAAGAGAAUCUUACUUUCAUUUCUGAAAGAGCCUUGCAGCUGUUUAUAGGGGUCAGCUUUUUCUGAGAGAAAAAAUUUUAUCCCAGGUUUUAGGGCUUUGACACUGACUUUGAGGUAAUCAGCAAUUCCCAGGAGCAUAACACACUACUGUGGUCCAAUCAGUUCUAUUUUUACUGAAGGUUGGCUCCCUGUGGCUCACACUUAACCUCUGUUAUUUCCUUAGUCUGCAGUGUAUAGUGGAAUAGAAGGGCUCAGCCCCCAGGAGAACCUCAUCUGAGGACCCAUAACCUGAGGGUGCUAUUGCAGGAAAAGCCAAAUGGAAGCUCCCAGAGCUGCCCUCCCUGCCAGAGAGUCAAAGGAAAGCAGAAACAUUUUCCCGAGGGAACGGCAGGGAUUUGUGUCGUCAUCAGAGACUGGAAAUACACAAGGAUGGUUAUACUUCUAUCACCAUCUUGGCGCAGAUGACCACAAGCUUAGUCAGGAAGAGAUUCCUAUUGCACUGAUUCGAUUUACUUACUGCAACAGAUCAGCAUGGACUCCGGCCCCUCAGGGGCAGCUACUUAUUGAGAAGAUGCAUUAGUCUACCUCAGUGAAAACACUGAUCACGAAGCAGUUUGCCUUGACCUUACAAGACACCACAAGCUGUCCACCUUCACUGCUGUGUUCCAAGGUUAUGUCCGAUGCUCUUUCUCCGCCACGAUUGGGUACAGAGGAUUGUACCCAAUACCACGAUUGGUCAUCUCGUCUCACCAUCUCAAGUGAUUUUAUUUUAGUUUGUCACAUCGAUGGCAAGUUGGAGUGUCUGGAGAGUAGAGGAACCUACACACUUAUGCCUUGAUGAGCAGCAUGAGAGGGUCCUGACACCUGAGACCAUGAGGCCCUCAAAUGAUGCUUCCAGGCAUCCCAGCCAGCGACAGAGACAGCGAAGCCUCACUAGUCUGGUUUCCAUACCUCCCGCUUGCCUUGAGCCUGGCUGACACAUGCCCUCCUUGUGAUGGAUGUCACACUCAACAGCGACAAGCAUUUGGGCACUUGGCGGAGAUUGUCCUGGGAAGGAAGCGUUCUUGUUGUCAUAAGGACAAAUGACUCAGUGAAUAUGAGCCUGGCAAACAGCUCCUGCUUCUAUGAACAGCCACGGACACCCCAAAGAAACCAUCGGGUACCAACACUGGCUUGAGACACGAACAAGCGUAUGGUGACGUGUACUGUUUCAGGUACCCCCACCUUCUUGGGGUCACUGGUUGCUUCUGACUUUAGCUAGUAGGAGUAUGACCCCAGUCUUCUGGGUCACCUGGGUAAAUCUCUGUAUCAUCUUGGCCUGACGCCCUGAUUUCUGUUCCCCGAAUCCCUCUUUUAUGCCACACUGUUGCUACAGGCUUCUAGACUAACAGAAUGGCCUUAUGGGAGGGAAGUGGGCCAUUUGGGUUUCACUUCCUCAUCCAACUGACCCCUGUCUCUGCUCACGUGUCCAGACUCAACACAGAGCAGUCCCUGUCACACUCUUAGGCAGCCCCCUUCUCCUAGGCUUCCUGUCACACCUGCUUGGACCGUUGCUGUAUUUGUUCUUGGGCAGUUGUAUGUCCUUGGAUUCUUAGUUUCUCUUAAUUUGGGCUGACGUGAGUUAGUGAAAAGAUAAGGUUGAAGAGGUUGAUAAAUGUCUCUUUCAACAGUCUCCUGGGGCUAAACUUUCCACCUACUGAGAGAGAGCACUUGGAAGUCACAUGGGCACUUUGGUGUCUUGUAGUGCCAUAGGGGAGCCUCUGGCAUUCUAUAGGUGGGGACAGUCAUCCUAAUAUUUUCACCAGAGCUUUCCCAUUGAAAAUACCAACAGCUUCCAUCCAAAGACACUGCUCUAACUGGAUCAGCAUUCUUUGCAGAGUUAGAGGUACCGGAUGGAAGAUCCUUGGAUAACAAAAAUCAGGCAAGUUACCUUUUAUGUGCUUUUGCUGUUUCUUUGAGUGUGUGUGUGUAGCAUAUCUGUGUGUAUGUAUAACAUGUACAGUAUGUACAUGUCCGUGAAGGGUUGAACACCUUUCAACAAGAUGUCUAACCUCUCUGAACCUUAUCUGAUUCUUCUGUAAAGGAGGAGUGAUGCCCCAAUUCCCCCAACUCACUGAGUAAUGAGAGGUAUAAAGGACUUCCCACAGUGCCUGGCUCACCGUAACUGCUAAUAAACAGUAGCUAUUACUAGUGGUGAUGACGAGCCUCCAGUGCUGGCCAUGCUGGAGCUCCCAGAGGGAACGGAUUUUCUCUCAUGGCUCACCCUCUUUCAUUUGCUACCCAGUAUGGAACUAGGUGUCAUUUAAAACCCACCAGUAUGUGGCAGGCCACAGUGAGGUGCCAUCAAACAUCAGGAGAGGCCCAGUCCUAAAGCCGUAUCCGGUCAUGCCUGCUUGCCAGGAAGGAGGAUCAGAGCGCUGGCUGGAUCAUCCCUGGAUUGGCUAGAGUGGAAUUGCCCCAGAGGGUCUCAUCUUGUUCAGCUGAGGAGGCCAGUGUUAAACUUUGGCAUGCAUUAGUUACCUGGAAGGCAGGAAGCCCUGUGGACCCAGUGAAGAUGGAAACACACCCCGGUCAACACUCAUGCGGGGAUGGCGCGGGAGAAAAUAUUGAUGCUGUCAGCCUGGAGUUAAUAUAUUUUGAGAACCACUGAGUUGGAGAAAUGAGAAGGACAUAACUGGAUCUAUCUGGAUCUUUGUAAUGGAUGAACCCAGUGAAUGGGGAAGCAUGCAGACAGCCCAGGUGUACACGGCACUUUAUGAAUAUUGGACAACUAUAGGAAAUGCAACUACGAGAUUUCUCCAGAGGAGGUCUGUGUGCCUUCUGUGAGUUGCUCCCUGGGAGAUGGAGGUCUGUGUGCAUUCUGUGAGUUGCUCCCUGGGAGAUGGAGGUCUGUGUGCAUUCUGGGAAUUGCUGUCUGGGAGAUGCUUAUGCCAGCAUCCUGGAAGCAGCUGCUUGGAAAUGAAAAGAACUGAGGACAUCCACUCUGACUUCUGACUCAAGAUAAUGAAGCCCUCAUCCAGUGGCUGAUGGAAGCAGAGACAGACAUCCACAGAUAUACACUGAGCUGAAAUCGGGAAUUUAGUUGAAGAGAGGGAGGAAUGAAGAUCGAAGGGGUCAGUACCAGGUUGGAGAAACCCACAGGAACAGUUGGCUGGAACAAGGGAGAGCACAUCGACCCCAGAUGCUGUCUGGGAGGCCAGUACAAGACUGAUCCAGACCCCUGAACAUGGAUGUCAAUAAGGAGGCCUCUGCACUCCAGGGAGCCUCUGGUGGUGGAUUAGUAUUUUUCCCUGGUACAAGAAGGGACUUUGAGAGCCCAUCCCACGUGAAGGGUUACACUCUGGCCCUGGACACAUGGGGAAGGGCCCAGGACCAGCACAGGAAGAUUUGGUGGACUUUGCAGAGCCCCCGUUGAGGGCCC
This 3499-nucleotide long non-coding RNA is filed under the name Cricetulus griseus (Chinese hamster). RNAcentral describes it as "lncRNA (ENSCGRG00015034184.1)". The record is from RNAcentral. Lineage: Eukaryota; Metazoa; Chordata; Mammalia; Rodentia; Cricetidae.